UUUCAGUUACAGGGCUUUCCAUUGAAAUUGAAGUAGAAGGCUCAAUUAAAAAUAUAGGCGGCUGUAACAUGCGUUCGGCGAAGCCGGACGCCCACCAAGCUGUAAGCUUGGUGCCUUACGGCAGGGGGUCUGGGGGCCGCUCAAGGCCCCCAGAAGCUCUGGCAUAAAUAGAGCAAAAUCCUGCAUUCUCGCAAUCUCCUGGCACCUAAUUUCAUCUUUCAAAUGACCAUUUUUUUAUGUAUGAAAUUAAAGAAAGAAAAAAAAAAACUCGAAGAAAUUUCAUUUUUUUUUUAUGUUAGUUUUUUUAUUUUCAUUACCUUAUGCUUAAAAUUCAUUUACUUUUAACGGAGUUUUAUUUAAAUAAUCAUCCGGUUUGUUAGAAAUCUUGAUCGAUUUAUUUUGCAUAACUACGUGCAUUUGUAAACAAAUGAUCGACCCCCUUUUCUCUCUAAAGACUGUUACGCGUAUUUAAAUCAUACAAUUAUUUCUCAAGCAUUGACAGAAAAUUUAUAUAUCCUCUGAUUUUCUCUUUUUUGUUGUUGUAAACUGUUCAAUAAGUCGGAUACAUAAAUCAUUUGGAAAUGUUAUUUAUUUGAGGUCGAGUCGACAAUAUUCUACUUUCGUUUUUGACCUUGAUUCUCUGAACACCCACGUGGGCUUUGAAAAAAUGAACUUCAAAAGAUACUGUUUUCCAGAUUCUGAACAAUAUGAUCUACUACACUUUCUUUAAUUUGACUAAUAUUAUUCCAUAACAUAAGAUUGUCAUCCUAUCUGAUUGUCUUCACGUUUAAUCAAGCCAAAAAAAAGCCAACGAGUUAAUGACCAUCGGAACAUCUCUAUUGUUAUCAUUCAAUGACCACCGGAACGUCUCUCUUGUUAUCUUUGAAAAGAAACGAUGCAUUCUGACUUUAAAUAGACAACCAAUCAGGGACCUGAAUUCAUGUGAACUAUAUUUAGCCCAAGGUAAACACUGACUUUUCAUCCUUGUUUAUCGUGACCGCGACUUUGCGACAAUACGUCUCUCU
RNAcentral lists this long non-coding RNA (1025 nucleotides) under Mytilus galloprovincialis (Mediterranean mussel). Lineage: Eukaryota; Metazoa; Mollusca; Bivalvia; Mytilida; Mytilidae. The record is from RNAcentral.